GUGAGACAGGUGCUGCAUGGCUGUCGUCAGCUCGUGUUGUGAAAUGUUGGGUUAAGUCCCGCAACGAGCGCAACCCUUAUCCUUUGUUGCCAGCGGUCCGGCCGGGAACUCAAAGGAGACUGCCAGUGAUAAACUGGAGGAAGGUGGGGAUGACGUCAAGUCAUCAUGGCCCUUACGACCAGGGCUACACACGUGCUACAAUGGCGCAUACAAAGAGAAGCGAUCUCGCGAGAGCAAGCGGACCUCAUAAAGUGCGUCGUAGUCCGGAUUGGAGUCUGCAACUCGACUCCAUGAAGUCGGAAUCGCUAGUAAUCGUGGAUCAGAAUGCCACGGUGAAUACGUUCCCGGGCCUUGUACACACCGCCCGUCACACCAUGGGAGUGGGUUGCAAAAGAAGUAGGUAGCUUAACCUUCGGGAGGGCGCUUACCACUUUGUGAUUCAUGACUGGGGUGAAGUCGUAACAAGGUAACCGUAGGGGAACCUGCGGUUGGAUCACCUCCUUACCUUAAAGAAGC
This 516-nucleotide ribosomal RNA is filed under the name Escherichia coli. RNAcentral describes it as "bacterial SSU rRNA". It matches the Rfam family "Bacterial small subunit ribosomal RNA", at positions 1029 to 1533 of the family's 1533-position model. The record is from RNAcentral. Lineage: Bacteria; Pseudomonadati; Pseudomonadota; Gammaproteobacteria; Enterobacterales; Enterobacteriaceae.